Long non-coding RNA from Capra hircus (goat), 2151 nucleotides. RefSeq lists it as uncharacterized. The transcript has 3 exons. Lineage: Eukaryota; Metazoa; Chordata; Mammalia; Artiodactyla; Bovidae. The record is from RefSeq and is a predicted model, not a curated record.
AGCUCCUAAAUGAGCCCUCCAGAGCAACAAGAAUCAGCUUGUCUUGAACAAACAAAAAUCAGAGAAUUCCUAAUUUGGAGAUACCAAAGUGGCCUUUCUUUUAAGAGACUCUUAAGAUAUAAUUACAAAGGCACUAAAGUUAGUAAGUGCCCAUUGCUUGGGCUGAGAAAAGCUGGCUCUUUUUGUCCACUGGCAGCAGAAGCUGUGUUAAGCAAGACUGCUAUUAUUAUCCAUUGUUGAUGUUUCCAGCGGCUGUGGUGCUAUCCAUCCUCUCCCCAUCCACGAACAGGCUGCGGUUUCUGAAUCAGGAAGGCAGUAAACAACCUCUUUGUUUGCCUCUCACCCCUAUCCCACUUCCGCCGCCAUUCCCCACUCCCCCUCACUUUCCUGCUGCCCUUAGCCCUGAAAGUAAGAAACCUGACUCUGGGCGAUAUUCAGAUUCUGUCUAGGGGCACCCCAAAACACCUUGGACUGGAGACAAGGAAACAAAAAGAGAAGCCCCCCCAGGGACCACAGGAAUACCCAGAAAACAAGCCCCUCUCCUUCACUAGCCUAAGAAGAGAGCUCUGGGCCCUACUUGAACUACUGCCCCAAGUGGAUGGGCCAGGUAACAGGGAUGCAAACAGAACACACUGGGAACAGGUACGACCAUGACGGCCAGCGUAUCGGGACCUGGCCUGGUCUCCACUCCCAGGCCACUGAGCAGCACGACUGGGUAUGAGCAGCUCUCCCUAGCGCCGCUCAGCUACAGCUGACUUGAGAGUCCUGCCUUCCAGGAGGGAUCUUAACAGCAGAGACGAUCUGAGCACUGUUCCUGGAGCUGGUGGGAGGAUCGGGUAUCCUGGUGUAGCAGCCAAGAGGCCCUCCAAGCUGUGCACUGCCUGGGUGAGCGUCACUCAACCCCUGUGGGUGCGCAUCCUAUAAAUGAGGAUGAUGCCGCUUUGGUCCACGGGCGCGUGGUCCAUUUCUGUCCUCCAUUCUAAGGAAUCAGUGACUUGGAGCUUCUCCACAGGGAAGACCCCAAGCCACAGGGGCACACGCUGUGUGUCGGACACUAUCUUAAGUCAGUGACUCAUCAGGCAUCAAGUAACGAGGCUAAGAAAAGCCCUCCCCUGAGCUCACCUCCUGUCAAUGGAGACAAACAAUUACUUAAGACUUCUAGAAAUACCCCAGGCACUCACAGCCAGCUCCACGAACUGGCUCUCCCUUUAAAUUCUAGUCUCUUGUGGGUCCUCCCCAUCUUGGCCCGUGUGCCCCUCAUGACAAAGGCUCCACUGAUGCUGUGCCCAUGAAUAGGAGCUCCUGGCCAUAGAUAGCAAGGGCCCACUGUGAAGGUGGGAGAGAGGUGGAUGCCCAGAGUGGGGCAAGGAUCAAAGAAGCCCCUCUCACCAGCAGCCCCUGAGGCCACAUCCAACUGUUUCUCUGGGGGUAGUAAGUAAAAGGCACCCCGUGUGCACUUGGAGCCAGCAUGAGGGCAGCUUCCUACCAAUACUGUAUCCCCACAGUCUGACAAGACGGAGUGGGUCAACACUGUGCCAGUAUCCACAGGCCACAUGUUCUAGGCUCCGUCUCUGUGAGUGAGGAUGCCCCUACUGUCCCUGGUGACUGUACAUGUAGGAUGCCAGGUGGGGGGCCAGCCCACGGUCAGGCGAUGGCAAGGUGACUUGGCCCUGGGGUGGGGGAUGGACACUCCAGUCCUGAACUUGUGAGCACCGGUAGUGGAAAGGCCUGGUGACAAUAUAAGUACGGACAUGCAGCAGAAAGAAGAGCAGAUCCCAAACUGAGAGCCACCCCGUCUCUCCAGCAAGGCAGGCCGAUGGGAAGCAUGGCGGAGGAAGGUGGCCUUACCGCCCCGCAUGUAGGGCUGCUGGUGCCCUCUGCUGGAGGAGGGCCCUGUCCCCUCCCUGUCUUGAGGGUGAACCCUAUGGCUCCUGCCAGCAAGGCUGGGGACUUGGCAGUGAAGCAGGUACCCACCCACCUGCCUCACAUAAGAGGAUGGAGCUCAGGCUCCAGAACCAGCCUCUCCACCACACAGGGGACACAGCCACCCGCUCCUGAACCUUCUCCAACCCAGCGGCCUGGAGGGCUGUACAGGGCAAGGAGCAGAGCCCCUCCAGGACGACCCCUCUACACCCCUGUCCGGUGUCCAUG